AAGCAAUGGAGGGGCCUCCGAUGACAGCAAGUGUAACCACACCGGUGAGCCUUCUUUGCCGGCAACCAUUUAGCAUGUAGAGAGAACCUGAAAUUUCUUUACAUUCCUUUAGCAAAUUAGCAAUCUCGUGCAUCCAUAACUAAGCUGUUUGUUAUCUAAUUUUAAUAAUAUCUUUGUUUAGAAAUAUUAUUAUCUGCUCUGCAUGUCUAGAGGCAUAAAAGAUAAGUAAAUAGCAAAUUGAACAUAUCUUUGUUGUAUUGGAUAGAAGAACCAUUAAUCUAUCCAAAAGCACUAUUUCGAUUCAUUUCUAUCAAACAUUAUGCAUGAAUAUAAUCGAGUUGAUCUCAUAUCAAUACGAAUUUCACAAAACCUUGAAUGGAUAUGAGAGGGCAGCCGCAGUGUAGCAAAAAGCCGAUGCCCCAUCAAGAAAUAAAAAAUUGAUUGCUCAGCUGCAUAUGAGAGGGCAGCUGUACUAUGUUUACUCACAACUGCACCAUGAGUGGGCCCAGUGGGUCCCAUGUUAAUACUUCUAAUUACUAUCAAACAUUCGAUGUCAUCGAUGUGAGAGAGACUAAUUUUUAAUCCCGGCAUCCAAACGAGGCCUUAUGGAUUGACAAAAUUAUCAUAAACUCAUUUCAAUAGUGAUAGAUGAAACACCUGCCAUACCCAAAGAAUAAUUAGUCAAAAAUAAGAAUAUCCAUGCUGAGUGAGAGACUUGAACUAUAGGAGAAACAUAACAAAUUCAACAUUGCUCAGUUAAAAAAAUGUGUUUACUGUGGCUAGGAGAUUACCUGAGGGGGUACUCUUUUUGUUAUUUUCCUCCUUUUUUCUGGCUUUUGACAUAGCGGUAUUAUUUCUACCCUUGUCUAUUAAUAUAUGAACGGCAAGCUCUUGCCAGUUCACUUUCAAAAAAAUAUGUUUACUUAAUCCUUAACUACCAUCUAAUUACUUUCCUUAACUGCUAUCAUUGGAUGAAUUGGACAACAGCAAAAUAAGCUCACACCUCGCCCUGGUGCGACCCGACUCCCAUUAAGGGCCAGCCUUAGAGCUAGUUUUGUUAGCUUGAAAAAAAUCGGGCUGGUCCGAGCCUUGCCCGAAAUAUUAAAAUUAAUUAUUUCUACAUUAAAAAAAUCGUGUGAGCCCAACUUGGACCCUUAUUUGCAGGUACCAUAGAGUUAUUUGCCGAAUUUUAGCCUUGGUUUUAAGCCAAAAAAAUCGGACUUUCUGUCAGGGCUUUGCAAAAUGCUUAGGUCUAGGACGGACAAACAUAUUUGAGGAUUUUCUAGAUCAUAGGCUUGGGUCACAAGUGUGCCGAGUCUGUAUUCUUUGUAAUCUUGUAACAACCCGUGUUCAAAAUCUUAUGACACUUUCUUCCUUGUUUCAUGUAAAAGGUUUAAUCCAGAGACACUAUGUUUCUUUGUAAUCUUGUAUGCAUGGAGUACUAAAUGUAGACGAAAUCAAAAACUAAUUGUACAAUUUUAUUGUACUUUGCGAGAUGAAUCUUUUGAGACUAAUUAGCCAAUAUUUAAACAAUAAUUCACGAAUACAAACGAAACGCUACAGUAUGCUACAGUGCUGAUACAGUGAUUUUUGGUGAUCCAAAAUCGGACAACUAAACAGGACCUAGAAACUUCGUACCCUACUCCGAGGAACCUAAUGGCCUCCAUAAAUAUGCAGCAUACCUUUGAGUAGUUGGUCAUAGUUCAAAGGCGAGGGUGCUGGAGGAGAUCGAUCCUAGAAGCAAUGGAGGGGCCUCCGAUGACAGCAAGUGUAACAACACCGGUGAGCCUUCUUUGCCGGCAACCAUUUAGCAUGUAGAGAGAACCUGAAAUUUCUUUACAUUCCUUUAGCAAAUUAGCAAUCUCGUGCAUCCAUAACUAAGCUGUUUGUUAUCUAAUUUUAAUAAUAUCUUCGUUUAGAAAUAUUAUUUUCCGGUCUGCAUGUCUAGAGGCAUAAAAGAUAAGUAAAUAGCAAAUUGAACAUAUCUUUGUUGUAUUGGAUAGAAGAACCAUUAAUCUAUCCAAAAGCACUAUUUCGAUUCAUUUCUAUCAAACAUUAUGCAUGAAUCUAAUCAAGUUGAUCUCAUAUCAAUACGAAUUUCACAAAACCUUGAAUGGAUAAGUAC
RNAcentral lists this long non-coding RNA (2125 nucleotides) under Setaria viridis. RNAcentral's name for it is "long non-coding RNA (SVIR_LNC008522)". The record is from RNAcentral. Lineage: Eukaryota; Viridiplantae; Streptophyta; Magnoliopsida; Poales; Poaceae.